CUGGGUCUGACGCGCAGCAUGAUCAGCCAUGCCGCGUGCAGGAUGACGGUCCUAUGGAUUGUAACUGCUUUUAUACGAGAAGACACACUGAUUCGUGAAUCAGCUUGACGGUAUCGUAAGAAUAAGGAUCGGCUAACUCCGUGCCAGCAGCCGCGGUAAUAGA
RNAcentral lists this ribosomal RNA (163 nucleotides) under uncultured Flavobacterium sp. RNAcentral's name for it is "partial 16S ribosomal RNA". It matches the Rfam family "Bacterial small subunit ribosomal RNA", at positions 359 to 529 of the family's 1533-position model. Lineage: Bacteria; Pseudomonadati; Bacteroidota; Flavobacteriia; Flavobacteriales; Flavobacteriaceae. The record is from RNAcentral.